GAUGAACGCUGGCGGCGUGCCUAAUACAUGCAAGUCGAGCGAACAGAUGAGGAGCUUGCUCCUGUGACGUUAGCGGCGGACGGGGGAGUAACACGUGGAGAACCGAGCUAUUAGACUGGGAUAACUUCGGGAAACCGGAGCGAAUACCGGGUAAUAUAUUGUACCGCAUGGUUCAAUAGUGAAAGACGGUGUUGCUGUCACUUAUAGAUGGAUCCGCGCCGCAUUAGCUAGUUGGUAAGGUAACGGCUUACCAAGGCAACGAUGCGUAGCCGACCUGAGAGGGUACGCGGCCACACUGGCAUUGAGACACGGUCCAGACCACUACGGGAGGCAGCAGUAGGGAAUCUUCCGCAAUGGGCGAAAUCUUGAAGGAGCAACGCCGCGUGAGUGCUGAAGGUCUUCGGAUCGUAAAACUCUGUUAUUAGGGAAGAGCAAAUGUGUAAGUAACUAUGCACGUCUUGACGGUACCUAAUCAGAAAGCCACGGCUAACUACGUG
This 497-nucleotide ribosomal RNA is filed under the name uncultured bacterium. Its description in RNAcentral is "partial 16S ribosomal RNA". It matches the Rfam family "Bacterial small subunit ribosomal RNA", at positions 28 to 507 of the family's 1533-position model. The record is from RNAcentral.